GAUGAAGAACGUAGCGAAAUGCGAUAAGUAAUGUGAAUUGCAGAAUUCAGUGAAUCAUCGAAUCUUUGAACGCACAUUGCGCCCCUUGGUAUUCCGAGGGGCAUGCCUGUUCGAGCGUCAUUACACCACUCAAGCUAUGCUUGGUAUUGGGCGUCGUCCUUAGUUGGGCGCGCCUUAAAGACCUCGGCGAGGCCACUCCGGCUUUAGGCGUAGUAGAAUUUAUUCGAACGUCUGUCAAAGGAGAGGAACUCUGCCGACUGAAACCUUUAUUUUUCUAGGUUGACCUCGGAUCAGGUAGGGAUACCAGCUGAACUUAAGCAUAUAAUAAGCGGAGGA
This 336-nucleotide unclassified non-coding RNA is filed under the name soil metagenome. Its description in RNAcentral is "partial contains 5.8S ribosomal RNA, internal transcribed spacer 2, and large subunit ribosomal RNA". The stretch from base 1 to 120 matches the Rfam family "5.8S ribosomal RNA", at positions 35 to 154 of the family's 154-position model. The record is from RNAcentral.